UCUACGGCCAUACCACCCCGAAUGCACCUGGUCUCGUCUGAUCUCAGAAGCUAAGCAGGGUCGGGCCUGGUUAGUCCUUGGAAGGGAGGAAUGAAUGAGAAAUCAAAACAUUCUCAGAU
RNAcentral lists this ribosomal RNA (119 nucleotides) under Propithecus coquereli (Coquerel's sifaka). The record is from RNAcentral. Lineage: Eukaryota; Metazoa; Chordata; Mammalia; Primates; Indriidae.